UUGGGGUGUGACUGCGUACCUUUUGUAUAAUGGGUCAGCGACUUAUAUUCUGUAGCAAGGUUAACCGAAUAGGGGAGCCGGAGGGAAACCGAGUCUUAAUUGGGCGUUAAGUUGCAGGGUAUAGACCCGAAACCCGGUGAUCUAGCCAUGGGCAGGUUGAAGGUUGGGUAACACUAACUGGAGGACCGAACCGACUAAUGUUGAAAAAUUAGCGGAUGACCUGUGGCUGGGGGUGAAAGGCCAAUCAAACCGGGAGAUAGCUGGUUCUCCCCGAAAGCUAUUUAGGUAGCGCCUCGUGAAUUCAUCUCCGGGGGUAGAGCACUGUUUCGGCUAGGGGGCCAUCCCGGCUUACCAACCCGAUGCAAACUGCGAAUACCGGAGAAUGUUAUCACGGGAGACACACGGCGGGUGCUAACGUCCGUCGUGAAGAGGGAAACAACCCAGACCGCCAGCUAAGGUCCCAAAGUCAUGGUUAAGUGGGAAACGAUGUGGGAAGGCCCAGACAGCCAGGAUGUUGGCUUAGAAGCAGCCAUCAUUUAAAGAAAGCGUAAUAGCUCACUGGUCGAGUCGGCCUGCGCGGAAGAUGUAACGGGGCUAAACCAUGCACCGAAGCUGCGGCAGCGACACUGUGUGUUGUUGGGUAGGGGAGCGUUCUGUAAGCCUGUGAAGGUGGCCUGUGAGGGUUGCUGGAGGUAUCAGAAGUGCGAAUGCUGACAUAAGUAACGAUAAAGCGGGUGAAAAGCCCGCUCGCCGGAAGACCAAGGGUUCCUGUCCAACGUUAAUCGGGGCAGGGUGAGUCGACCCCUAAGGCGAGGCCGAAAGGCGUAGUCGAUGGGAAACAGGUUAAUAUUCCUGUACUUGGUGUUACUGCGAAGGGGGGACGGAGAAGGCUAUGUUGGCCGGGCGACGGUUGUCCCGGUUUAAGCGUGUAGGUGUGUGUUCCAGGUAAAUCCGGUUCACUUUAACACUGAGGCGUGAUGACGAGGCACUACGGUGCUGAAGCAACAAAUGCCCUGCUUCCAGGAAAAGCCUCUAAGCAUCAGGUAACAUCAAAUCGUACCCCAAACCGACACAGGUGGUCAGGUAGAGAAUACCAAGGCGCUUGAGAGAACUCGGGUGAAGGAACUAGGCAAAAUGGUGCCGUAACUUCGGGAGAAGGCACGCUGACACGUAGGUGAAGUGAUUUACUCAUGGAGCUGAAGUCAGUCGAAGAUACCAGCUGGCUGCAACUGUUUAUUAAAAACACAGCACUGUGCAAACACGAAAGUGGACGUAUACGGUGUGACGCCUGCCCGGUGCCGGAAGGUUAAUUGAUGGGGUCAGCGCAAGCGAAGCUCCUGAUCGAAGCCCCGGUAAACGGCGGCCGUAACUAUAACGGUCCUAAGGUAGCGAAAUUCCUUGUCGGGUAAGUUCCGACCUGCACGAAUGGCGUAAUGAUGGCCAGGCUGUCUCCACCCGAGACUCAGUGAAAUUGAACUCGCUGUGAAGAUGCAGUGUACCCGCGGCAAGACGGAAAGACCCCGUGAACCUUUACUAUAGCUUGACACUGAACAUUGAGCCUUGAUGUGUAGGAUAGGUGGGAGGCUUUGAAGUGUGGACGCCAGUCUGCAUGGAGCCGACCUUGAAAUACCACCCUUUAAUGUUUGAUGUUCUAACGUGGACCCGUAAUCCGGGUUGCGGACAGUGUCUGGUGGGUAGUUUGACUGGGGCGGUCUCCUCCUAAAGAGUAACGGAGGAGCACGAAGGUUGGCUAAUCCUGGUCGGACAUCAGGAGGUUAGUGCAAUGGCAUAAGCCAGCUUGACUGCGAGCGUGACGGCGCGAGCAGGUGCGAAAGCAGGUCAUAGUGAUCCGGUGGUUCUGAAUGGAAGGGCCAUCGCUCAACGGAUAAAAGGUACUCCGGGGAUAACAGGCUGAUACCGCCCAAGAGUUCAUAUCGACGGCGGUGUUUGGCACCUCGAUGUCGGCUCAUCACAUCCUGGGGCUGAAGUAGGUCCCAAGGGUAUGGCUGUUCGCCAUUUAAAGUGGUACGCGAGCUGGGUUUAGAACGUCGUGAGACAGUUCGGUCCCUAUCUGCCGUGGGCGCUGGAGAACUGAGGGGGGCUGCUCCUAGUACGAGAGGACCGGAGUGGACGCAUCACUGGUGUUCGGGUUGUCAUGCCAAUGGCACUGCCCGGUAGCUAAAUGCGGAAGAGAUAAGUGCUGAAAGCAUCUAAGCACGAAACUUGCCCCGA
This 2232-nucleotide ribosomal RNA is filed under the name Salmonella enterica. RNAcentral describes it as "partial 23S ribosomal RNA". It matches the Rfam family "Bacterial large subunit ribosomal RNA", at positions 586 to 2802 of the family's 2925-position model. Lineage: Bacteria; Pseudomonadati; Pseudomonadota; Gammaproteobacteria; Enterobacterales; Enterobacteriaceae. The record is from RNAcentral.